GAUGAACGCUGGCGGCGUGCCUAAUACAUGCAAGUCGAGCGAACGGACGAGAAGCUUGCUUCUCUGAUGUUAGCGGCGGACGGGUGAGUAACACGUGGAUAACCUACCUAUAAGACUGGGAUAACUUCGGGAAACCGUAGCUAAUACCGGAUAAUAUUUUGAACCGCAUGGUUCAAAAGUGAAAGACGGUCUUGCUGUCACUUAUAGAUGGAUCCGCGCUGCAUUAGCUAGUUGGUAAGGUAACGGCUUACCAAGGCAACGAUGGAUAGCCGACCUGAGAGGGUGAUCGGCCACACUGGAACUGAGACACGGUCCAGACUCCUACGGGAGGCAGCAGUAGGGAAGCUUCCGCAAUGGGCGAAAGCCUGACGGAGCAACGCCGCGUGAGUGAUGAAGGUCUUCGGAUCGUAAAACUCUGUUAUUAGGGAAGAACAUAUGUGUAAGUAACUGUGCACAUCUUGACGGUACCUAAUCAGAAAGCCACGGCUAACUACGUG
Molecule: ribosomal RNA, 497 nt
Filed under: uncultured bacterium
Lineage: Bacteria
Description: partial 16S ribosomal RNA
Rfam family: Bacterial small subunit ribosomal RNA
Source: RNAcentral